AUGGCAUGUUUUAUUUUGCUGUGAGCAAAAUUUGAAAAAUAUAACAAUCAACUUGGUAUAAUCUUGUAGUUACCAGUUUGGCUUUCAUAUGUUAAUCUCCAGGGCAAGCAAGCUGAUCUGUCUGAUCUUAAUGUGGAUUAUGCAAUUCAGAGAAAGCAGAGCAUAUCAACAUUUAUCAGCUCCCCCAUAGUUGAGGAUAUUAUGACCACCAUAUCUGCAGCUGAUAUGAAAUCCCAGAUUCCUGUUUGUCUUGAUGUCACUCAAUCCUCUUUCAAUCUACGAGCGUGCACUACAUUUGAUCUUCAUAUGCACAAGCACAAACCACCCGCUAAUGAUGGUAUAAAAGGAAAUGAUAUUCUUGCCAUGCCACCAUAUAACUUUGGGGAGAAAUUUCAGGAUAUGCACGAUGUUAUUUUGAUAUUGGAUGAUCGUGAAAAUUU
Zingiber officinale is the source of this 440-nucleotide long non-coding RNA. RefSeq lists it as uncharacterized. The transcript has 3 exons. The record is from RefSeq and is a predicted model, not a curated record. Lineage: Eukaryota; Viridiplantae; Streptophyta; Magnoliopsida; Zingiberales; Zingiberaceae.